RNAcentral lists this transfer RNA (71 nucleotides) under Penaeus vannamei (Pacific white shrimp). Its description in RNAcentral is "Litopenaeus vannamei (Pacific white shrimp) tRNA". It matches the Rfam family "tRNA". From Rfam's summary of the family: Transfer RNA (tRNA) molecules are approximately 80 nucleotides in length. Lineage: Eukaryota; Metazoa; Arthropoda; Malacostraca; Decapoda; Penaeidae. The record is from Rfam by way of RNAcentral.
GGCCUGAUGGUCUAGGGGUAUGAUUCUCGCUUUGGGUGCGAGAGGUCCGGGUUCAAAUCCCGGUCAGGCCC